RNAcentral lists this ribosomal RNA (274 nucleotides) under uncultured bacterium. RNAcentral's name for it is "partial 16S ribosomal RNA". It matches the Rfam family "Bacterial small subunit ribosomal RNA", at positions 523 to 796 of the family's 1533-position model. The record is from RNAcentral.
AUACGGAGGGUGCAAGCGUUAAUCGGAAUUACUGGGCGUAAAGCGUGCGCAGGCGGUUUGUUAAGUCAGAUGUGAAAGCCCCGGGCUCAACCUGGGAACCGCAUUUGAAACUGGCCAACUAGAGUGUGGUAGAGGGAAGUGGAAUUCCUCAUGUAGCGGUGAAAUGCGUAGAUAUGAGGAGGAACACCAGUGGCGAAGGCGACUUCCUGGACCAACACUGACGCUCAUGUACGAAAGCGUGGGUAGCAAACAGGAUUAGAAACCCCGGUAGUCC